GACGUAGGAGGCGAGCGUUGUCCGGAUUCAUUGGGCGUAAAGAGCUCGUAGGCGGCUUGUCACGUCGGGUGUGAAAGCCCGGGGCUUAACCCCGGGUCUGCAUUCGAUACGGGCUAGCUAGAGUGUGGUAGGGGAGAUCGGAAUUCCUGGUGUAGCGGUGAAAUGCGCAGAUAUCAGGAGGAACACCGGUGGCGAAGGCGGAUCUCUGGGCCAUUACUGACGCUGAGGAGCGAAAGCGUGGGGAGCGAACAGG
RNAcentral lists this ribosomal RNA (253 nucleotides) under uncultured bacterium. RNAcentral describes it as "partial 16S ribosomal RNA". It matches the Rfam family "Bacterial small subunit ribosomal RNA", at positions 524 to 776 of the family's 1533-position model. The record is from RNAcentral.